This 443-nucleotide ribosomal RNA is filed under the name uncultured bacterium. Its description in RNAcentral is "partial 16S ribosomal RNA". It matches the Rfam family "Bacterial small subunit ribosomal RNA", at positions 338 to 795 of the family's 1533-position model. The record is from RNAcentral.
CCUACGGGUGGCAGCAGUGGGGAAUAUUGCACAAUGGGCGAAAGCCUGAUGCAGCAACGCCGCGUGAAGGAAGAAGGGUUUCGGCUCGUAAACUUCUAUCAACAGGGACGAAAGCAAUGACGGUACCUGACUAAGAAGCCCCGGCUAACUACGUGCCAGCAGCCGCGGUAAUACGUAGGGGGCAAGCGUUAUCCGGAAUUACUGGGUGUAAAGGGUGCGUAGACGGCAGUGUAAGCCUGAAGUGAAAGCCUUGGGCUUAACCCGAGGACUGCAUUGGAAACUAUCAAGCUAGAGUACAGGAGAGGAAAGCGGAAUUCCUAGUGUAGCGGUGAAAUGCGUAGAUAUUAGGAAGAACACCAGUGGCGAAGGCGGCUUUCUGGACUGAAACUGACGCUGAGGCACGAAAGCGUGGGGAGCGAACAGGAUUAGAUACCCGUGUAGUC